Molecule: transfer RNA, 73 nt
Filed under: Camelus bactrianus (Bactrian camel)
Lineage: Eukaryota; Metazoa; Chordata; Mammalia; Artiodactyla; Camelidae
Also listed under: 1 other name
Rfam family: tRNA
About the family: Transfer RNA (tRNA) molecules are approximately 80 nucleotides in length. Their secondary structure includes four short double-helical elements and three loops (D, anti-codon, and T loops).
Source: Rfam by way of RNAcentral
GAGGGUAUAGCUCAAGUGAUAGAGCAUGUGCUUAGCAUGCACAAGGUCCUGGGUUCAAUCCCCAGUACCUCCU